Molecule: unclassified non-coding RNA, 359 nt
Filed under: Pouteria cladantha
Lineage: Eukaryota; Viridiplantae; Streptophyta; Magnoliopsida; Ericales; Sapotaceae
Description: partial contains external transcribed spacer and 18S ribosomal RNA
Source: RNAcentral
UCCUGUGUUGGUUUUCUAACGUGAUGGAAAUUGAUCCCAGAUGAGUCCUAAUUUUUGCCUCUCGCCACUUGGUGGUGUUAGGUUGACGUGGAAGUGCUGCCCGUUUUGCUUGAAUGCUUUGCUUUUUGGCACAGCCCAAGGGUAGUUACUACUAGUUCCUUCGGAUGCAGAACUUUUGAAGGGUGCACAGCAUAUUGUUGUUGUUGCUUACCCGCAAAGCGUUCAUGGCUCGAUGCGUUCGACGGUUGUGCCCGCCUUGGUCCUCGUCUUUCACUAGUUUGGACGGGGCUCAUGCGGUGCCGGCGUCACAGAGGAAUGCUACCUGGUUGAUCCUGCCAGUAGUCAUAUGCUUGUCUCAA